Long non-coding RNA from Ctenopharyngodon idella (grass carp), 1456 nucleotides. RefSeq lists it as uncharacterized. The record is from RefSeq and is a predicted model, not a curated record. The transcript has 3 exons. NCBI's taxonomy places the organism in Eukaryota, Metazoa, Chordata, Actinopteri, Cypriniformes, Xenocyprididae.
UUUGAAAAAGAAAUCUUUUGUAACAUUAUACAUGUCUUUACUGUCACAUUUGAUCGAUUUAAUGCAUCUUUGGUGACCCCAAACCCUUAAACAGUAGUGUACAGUUUUAUAUAGAUUGUGAAAUUAAUCACUUUUUCGUCUUUGUGUGUUUUUUUUUUUUUUUUUUUUGUUAGCUUCUGUUUUGCUAGAUGGCCACUCAGCAUACUAGCUUAGUCAGUUAGCCUUCUAGCUUAUUCAAUAACCAAUGCGAAUUUUUAUUCAGGUUGUUUUUUUGUUUGAUCAGGCAUUACAAACGGCUACCCAUAUGGGCUCCAAGGCAUACUCGAUUGUUCAUGACACGCCCUGAACAUGAGUGCGUGACAGAGCGAGAGGCGCGACGUGAGGGCCGGGAAGCGUGAGCGCUAGAUGGAGACAGCUAGGCAUAGUUCCAGGGCUUCCUGUGCCACCUGGGCAUCUUAAAGUCUGCCAGUCUGUCGGUACGGGAGACCCAGCUGGACCGAGGGCUGUGAGGGUGUGUUGGUGGAAUCGGUAAUGAAGAUUUAGAGCCAAGAACAUUAGCCGUCUUGAGCCUCAGACCCACCCAGGAGCCCCCAGGGUGCUCAACCUUGAGCUUGUUGCCCUCUAUGUGAUCGUGUCUCCAAUUGUUCAUGGUGAGAUACAUUUGUGCGCAUGUGGAGACUUGUUUUGUUAUUGCAAAUGUUUACGUAGGUCCUUGAGUUUAAUGUAAUAGAGAAUUGACAUGGACCUUUUUUUAAUUUUUCUGAGCUACAAUUAUCAUCUAACACCUUCCUGUUCAUUAGAGACAGGUGUGCUUAAUAAAGGUAUGCAGUGUGGUUACUGCGGAAGGUGUGAAGGUGCUCUUUGAACAAACUAAGCCAUUCCAGACUCACUGCCAGUGAAAUUCUAUUGAACUUGUGUCUGGCAUGAAAUGCACAAUGUUUGGACUGGAAUACUGCAUAAUGCACAGUAUAUACUGUAUAGACCUUAGUCAGGGUAAUGCAAAUUCUUGACAAAAUUUCCAUACAACUAUUUUGGAAGUUGUGAUUUUUUUUUUUUUUUUUUUUUUUUAAAUCUUAGGAUCUUAUAGAGUAAUUGCCGUUGUAAAGACUUUAAAAUUCUGUUUCCACAUAAUACAGUACUACUUUUUUAAAAGCCUGGUUUUCCAAAGAAAAAUAUUUGAGUAAGCUAAUUCAUACAUUCAAUUUAAAAUUAUCAUGUAAUCUCAACUUAAAUAUUUUUAGUAGUGGUAACUUUGCUAGCUUUAAAUUGCUUAUUCAGUAAAAGCUACCUUGCUAAUUGGUAACACAAUGCUUUGAUAACAUUAGCAUAGCAUAGCACUUGCUGAAUGAGUACAGCAAUAUAAACAUUUAACACGUCUGUUGUCAAACUAAGCUCAUGGUCCACUCGUCACCAUGAUGUAUGCUUUAUUAAUCUUGCACCAAAACAUUAUGUAACA